UCUUUUCCUUUUUUGCCCGCCGCCGCGGUAAUACGGAGGAUGCGAGCGUUAUCCGGAUUUAUUGGGUUUAAAGGGAGCGCAGGCUGCGAGGCAAGUCAGCGGUCAAAUGUCGGGGCUCAACCCCGGCCUGCCGUUGAAACUGUCUUGCUAGAGUUCGAGUGAGGUAUGCGGAAUGCGUUGUGUAGCGGUGAAAUGCAUAGAUAUGACGCAGAACUCCGAUUGCGAAGGCAGCAUACCAACUCGCGACUGACGCUGAGGCUCGAAAGCGUGGGUAUCGAACAGG
Molecule: ribosomal RNA, 283 nt
Filed under: Muribaculum intestinale
Lineage: Bacteria; Pseudomonadati; Bacteroidota; Bacteroidia; Bacteroidales; Muribaculaceae
Description: partial 16S ribosomal RNA
Rfam family: Bacterial small subunit ribosomal RNA
Source: RNAcentral